GGGCAGCAUUCUUGGAGAAAUUUUGUCUUGAAAACAAAAAGAAGGCGUUCGACUCGCCUACUUCCUU
RNAcentral lists this transfer RNA (67 nucleotides) under Anodontites trapesialis. RNAcentral's name for it is "tRNA-Ser". The record is from RNAcentral. Lineage: Eukaryota; Metazoa; Mollusca; Bivalvia; Unionida; Mycetopodidae.